ACCAAGGUGAUGAUANCGUAGCCGAACUNGAGAGGUUGAUCGGCCACAUUGGGACUGAGACACGGCCCAAACUCCUACGGGAGGCAGCAGUAGGGAAUCUUCCACAAUGGACGCAAGUCUGAUGGAGCAACGCCGCGUGAGUGAAGAAG
Molecule: ribosomal RNA, 149 nt
Filed under: uncultured bacterium
Lineage: Bacteria
Description: partial 16S ribosomal RNA
Rfam family: Bacterial small subunit ribosomal RNA
Source: RNAcentral